CCUACGGGAGGCAGCAGUGAGGAAUAUUGGUCAAUGGACGCAAGUCUGAACCAGCCAUGCCGCGUGCAGGAAGACGGCUCUAUGAGUUGUAAACUGCUUUUGUACGAGGGUAAACGCAGAUACGUGUAUCUGUCUGCAAGUAUCGUACGAAUAAGGAUCGGCUAACUCCGUGCCAGCAGCCGCGGUAAUACGGAGGAUUCAAGCGUUAUCCGGAUUUAUUGGGUUUAAAGGGUGCGUAGGCGGUCGGAUAAGUUAGAGGUGAAAUCCCGAGGCUCAACUUCGGAAUUGCCUCUGAUACUGGUCGGCUAGAGAGUAGUGGCGGUAGGCGGAAUGUAUGGUGUAGCGGUGAAAUGCUUAGAGAUCAUACAGAACAACGAUUGCGAAGGCAGCUUACCAAGCUACUUCUGACGUUGAGGCACGAAAGCGUGGGGAGCAAACAGGAUUAGAUACCCGAGUAGUC
Molecule: ribosomal RNA, 460 nt
Filed under: uncultured bacterium
Lineage: Bacteria
Description: partial 16S ribosomal RNA
Rfam family: Bacterial small subunit ribosomal RNA
Source: RNAcentral